This 253-nucleotide ribosomal RNA is filed under the name uncultured bacterium. RNAcentral describes it as "partial 16S ribosomal RNA". It matches the Rfam family "Bacterial small subunit ribosomal RNA", at positions 524 to 776 of the family's 1533-position model. The record is from RNAcentral.
UACGUAGGGGGCAAGCGUUGUCCGGAUUCAUUGGGCGUAAAGAGCGUGUAGGCGGCCAGGUAGGUCGGUUGUGAAAACUGGAGGCUCAACCUUCAGAGGUCGACCGAAACCAUCUGGCUAGAGUCCGGGAGAGGAGAGUGGAAUUCCGGGUGUAGCGGUGAAAUGCGUAGAUAUCCGGAGGAACACCGGUGGCGAAGGCGCACAUCUGGCCCGAUACUGACGCUGAGGCGCGAAAGCUAGGGGAGCAAACGGG